This is a long non-coding RNA of Xenopus laevis (African clawed frog), 1383 nucleotides long. RefSeq lists it as uncharacterized. The transcript is spliced from 3 exons. NCBI's taxonomy places the organism in Eukaryota, Metazoa, Chordata, Amphibia, Anura, Pipidae. The record is from RefSeq and is a predicted model, not a curated record.
AUGGGAGGGGACAUCUUUUUAUAAAGUAAUAAACAGAGUUAUGCUAUUAACAAUGCACUCUUUUCUUCUUUAGCACACAGUACAUCACAGGAGGCCCCACCAGAAGAAAGGAAUAGCUGCAAUCCGGACUUUCUAAAUGGACUUUCUAACAGACCCUUGGAUAAGGGUAAAAAUGUAUACUGAACAUACAGUGCACUUAUGGUAAUCCAGUGCACUGUUAAUUAACACCGUUCAGUAUACUUCAGUUUCUUUAUAUAAGGUAAGGUUUAGGGGUAAGUAUAGAAUUAAGUAAGUUUACUUCCUUUUCUAACUUCCAUCCCAUUGUUUUACUGUUUUCUUAUAGAUAGGAUGUUAUAUAGAAAUAGAAAUGUUAGGAUUCCUUCUCAUAUUUACUCCUGUCCCAUUCUUUUCUUUUACCAUUUUCUUUUCUCAUUUUCCUCUUUUCUCUUUUCCUCCACUUUAAUAUACUGUAAGUUAAGGUAAAAAAGGGUGGGUGGUAUCUUAUAUUGGAAUAGGAAUGUUACAAUUGUUUCUUGCUCUUCUUUUAUGCUCUCCUGUCUUUUCCCUGUAGUUUGUAGCACAUACUGUACGUUAAAUGUAAAGUUUAUGGGUAAAAGUAUACAGGAUAUGGCAGUGGUUAUGUGGGAUAAGGGAUAUAUGUAUAUAAAUAUGGGAUAUGGGUACUAUAAGGGUUAUAGUAAAGGGAUAUGGGAAUAGUGAUGUUGAAUAAGGGAUAUAUGUAUAUAAAUAUGGGAUAUGGGUACAAAAAGGGUUAUAGUAAAGGGAUAUGGGAAUAGUGAUGUUGAAUAAGGGAUAUAUGUAUAUAAUUAUGGGUUAUUGGUACUAUAAGGGUUAUAGUAAAGGGAUAUGGGAAUAGUGAUGUUGAAUAAGGGAUAUAUGUAUAUAAAUAUGGGAUAUGGGUACAAAAAGGGUUAUAGUAAAGGGAUAUGGGAAUAGUGAUGUUGAAUAAGGGAUAUAUGUAUAUAAUUAUGGGUUAUUGGUACUAUAAGGGUUAUAGUAAAGGGAAUGGGAUUAGCUAUGUGGGAUAAGGAAUAUGCCAUAUCCUGAUAGAAAUUUGCAGCAAAUCAUAACAGUAAAUUAACUGCUGAAGAAACACCACUUUCAGCCUGUUUACACUGUGAUUUGCUGCAAUAAGUAUGAAAGGUAUGAAGUGGUGUGUGAAUGUAAAUAGGGAUCCCCAUUGCACCAAUGUAGAAGAUGAACUUAGCGCACCUUCUGAUUGGCUGCAAGUUUAAUUUAGUUCACCAUUAAAAUAUAGAAAAAUCUGAUGAGGCCGUCCGUAUGCUUGUGCCUCUUUGUCCCAAUAGGAGGGAGUAAUAUUUCAGCAGAUAGAGCUGCAGAUUGUAGGCCCCUUUUUAAAAA